UGCCAGCCGCCGCGGUAAUACUGAAGGUGCAAGCGUUAAUCGGAAUCAUUGGGCGUAAAGCGCUCGUAGGUGGCUUUGUAAGUCAGAUGUGAAAGCCCACGGCUCAACCGUGGAAUUGCAUCCAAAACUAACUCACUAGAGUACGAUAGAGGGAGGUAGAAUUCAUAGUGUAGCGGUGGAAUGCGUAGAUAUUAUGAAGAAUACCAGUGGCGAAGGCGGCCUCCUGGAUCUGUACUGACACUGAGGUGCGAAAGCGUGGGUAGCGAACAGGAUUAGAUA
RNAcentral lists this ribosomal RNA (279 nucleotides) under uncultured bacterium. Its description in RNAcentral is "partial 16S ribosomal RNA". It matches the Rfam family "Bacterial small subunit ribosomal RNA", at positions 506 to 784 of the family's 1533-position model. The record is from RNAcentral.